CUCUAUCUAAGCCACUGGGUCCAUGAUUUGAGAAUUAGUAAGCCUGCAUUGUGGGCUGAAGCUGCUUUAUCUACUGUGUGUGUGUGCUAUAAUAAGAAUGUGUGCUGUUUGCGAGUUCCUUUUUCCUGCGAGGAUGAGGAAGUGACCUACAUAGACCCUAAGUGUUUGAGCGCUGGAUUUGCAUUCAGAAGAGCGUGGAAGAACAACACGACUGCUCUCCAAAAAUGAUGAGAUGUAAUGCGGUUUAGUGGCAGGGUGGCGCUGUGAGAAACAAAGGCUGAAGCUGAUAGAAAGCUUCUGUUAUUGUGCCUUUAUCAGGAUUUACAAAAGCUCCAGUCUGGAUCCAGAACACUUGAGAAGAGAUGAUGGCAACCCCUCAGAGGACCUCAGAUGAUGCCAACCCUGAAACAACAUACAGAACUACCAAAUUUUGCUAUAAGUUCUUCCGCCCUUUAUCUAAUGGUGUGGUUGAGCGGAGGUUAGUGGCCAGUGCUGAACUAAUGCAAGCAGCCUGACUGGCAGACACAUGCGUCACUCCAUCAAACCGCUGACUCAUCUCACAGGAAGUGCUCUGAGGACUGGACACAACAGGAAGCGCAUGAGCAGGUAGG
Molecule: long non-coding RNA, 611 nt
Organism: Cyprinus carpio carpio
Lineage: Eukaryota; Metazoa; Chordata; Actinopteri; Cypriniformes; Cyprinidae
Source: Ensembl